AGUGAACGCUGGCGGUAGGCCUAACGCAUGCAAGUCGAACGGCAGCACAGUAAGAGCUUGCUCUUACGGGUGGCGAGUGGCGGACGGGUGAGGAAUACAUCGGAAUCUACUUUUUCGUGGGGGAUAACGUAGGGAAACUUACGCUAAUACCGCAUACGACCUACGGGUGAAAGCAGGGAUCUUCGGACCUUGCGCGAUUGAAUGAGCCGAUGUCGGAUUAGCUAGUUGGCGGGGUAAAGGCCCACCAAGGCGACGAUCCGUAGCUGGUCUGAGAGGAUGAUCAGCCACACUGGAACUGAGACACGGUCCAGACUCCUACGGGAGGCAGCAGUGGGGAAUAUUGGACAAUGGGCGCAAGCCUGAUCCAGCCAUACCGCGUGGGUGAAGAAGGCCUUCGGGUUGUAAAGCCCUUUUGUUGGGAAAGAAAAGCAGCAGGUUAAUACCCCGCUGUUCUGACGGUACCCAAAGAAUAAGCACCGGCUAACUUCGUG
RNAcentral lists this ribosomal RNA (491 nucleotides) under uncultured bacterium. RNAcentral describes it as "partial 16S ribosomal RNA". It matches the Rfam family "Bacterial small subunit ribosomal RNA", at positions 29 to 507 of the family's 1533-position model. The record is from RNAcentral.